UACAGAGGUGGCAAGCGUUGUUCGGAUUUACUGGGCGUAAAGCGUGUGUAGGCGGCUUGGCAAGUUGGAUGUGAAAGCCCACGGCUCAACCGUGGAAGCGCAUCCAAAACUGCUUCGCUCGAGUCUCGGAGAGGAAGGUGGAAUGCUUGGUGUAGAGGUGAAAUUCGUAGAUAUCAAGCAGAACACCUGCGGCGAAGGCGGCCUUCUGGACGAUGACUGACGCUGAGACACGAAAGCGUGGGGAGCAAACAGG
RNAcentral lists this ribosomal RNA (253 nucleotides) under uncultured bacterium. RNAcentral describes it as "partial 16S ribosomal RNA". It matches the Rfam family "Bacterial small subunit ribosomal RNA", at positions 524 to 776 of the family's 1533-position model. The record is from RNAcentral.